CAUGGUCUGAAUAGUUGACAAAGGAGAAUUUGUCCCAGCUCCAAUCACAAGUCAUCUGUAGGCAUGGAAAAGUCUGAAAAUUAGACCGUUUCUGAAAGAAACUGAAGAUUCACUUUAUAUUUUGGGAACUGAAUGGAUCAUGAAAAGUGAAGUGCUUCAUAUCAGCAUGGAGCCAGAACUGAAUGUGAGUUGUAUGUGGAGGACUACUCUCCUUCUGAAACGCCACCGGCACCAAAAUUUGAGGAGGCUGUUUAACCAGUGAAGACUGAAAGUCAAGUUUAUCUUUGAGAACAUCUCAACGUAUCCCAAAGCAUCUGCCUCAUUUACAUAUCCCCCUGGAGUCCCAGCGAAGGUGGUCCUCAAACAAUGGCAAGCAUCCGGUAGCUGUUGACAUUCGACACAUGCGUCAGGUUCAGCUGCAGCUGACUGAUGAAGGAUUUGUUAUGGUUGCUUAAAUCAGGUACAUUACAAGUCUCCUUCCUUCCAAUCCCAAGGGGCCUUACAUAUUCUCUGGCCCUUCUACAGUGGCAGCAGUGGUUUGAUGACUCCAUCUGCUCCGUUCCAUUACACAUGCGGAGGAGAUCGAAACGGCCGUCAAAAAGCCCAAAUAACAAACAAGGGAGUCAUAUCGCUCCUUCUACAGUAUCAACAUAGUAACAACACAAUGGCGGCAUCUGUUUGGAGGAAACUUGGUGAAAGUGCCUCUUUAUUCUGCACGAUACAAUGCUGGUUGGUAUGAAAAGCCUGUUAGGAAACAUUGCAAGGGGCCUGAUGAAGUGGACCAUGACUCUUUGUGCAUGAAUGCACAUGCCCUAUGUGUGUUUGUGUAUGCGGGUCUGCUUGAAGUCAUUAGGGACAUGUAGAGCACUUGGAAAAAGUACAGACGACCUGCUGCCUGUAGGUAUCUCUGUAUGAGGACUCAAUCCUUCUCCGCUUAUACCACCCAGGGGAGAGAAGGGAGCGGAAUAAGAAGAACGAGAGAGGGGGAGUGAAAAACAAAGAGAAAUCUUGAUGCUCUCAUUUUGCCCUUCCUUUUUUGCAUCCAGAGGGGGUGUUUCUGUCUUUCUCUCUGCCGUCUUUAACCUGAAGCACAAUAGGAGCAUCAGGCAUCACCUUAAGCAGUGGAUAGAGUGGCUCCAUGCCUACACACUUGUGCAAAUUAAUAUCUGAUUUCAACACUUUCUUGGUUCAGUAGCAGUUUAUAGAAACUUUAAAGGUGAUGUGUGUGUGUGUGUGUGUGUGUGUUACAUUUAGAAAUGCUAUUCCAAGUUAAUGUGUAGAUUUUACUGUUAAAACUAUAAAAAGAGUGCAGUUCUUCAGAAGAGUCUGUAGUGGGGUCUAAAUUUUACUUGUGCCUUUUGAAACAACAGAGUUAAGUUUGUAGCAUUUUAGCAGGCUGCAUUGAUUUGAAAAAAAAAAAAACAUUUAAAAUGAUAUUAUCUAUUAUUAUUAGUAGUAGUAUUAUUAGUAUUAUUUUUUAUUAUUAUUUGAAUAGGCCUAAGUUUUUCCCGUUAAUAUAUUUUAAUGUAAUUUAUUUCUGUGAUGCAAAGCUGAAUUUUCAGCAAUUUAAUGCAUACUUCUUGAUUUUUUUAUUUUUAAAGUAUGUGUGUGUUUUGUAUAUGUGUGUAUAUAUCACAUCACAUAAUUUUGCAGUACAAGUUUGUGUAGUGGGUAAUAAUGCAAAAUAAAUAUUCACACAAUUUUUACUGGAAAACAGCUAAUUAUUUUAAAUUGUAAAAAAAAAAGGUCAAGUGUUCAAUUUGACUUGAGAUGACACUUAUCAAAUUCAUACACUAGAUGGCACAGUACAUAAGUGUCAGCAUCUUGCUCAACUAACACUGGAAAUCUAAUUUAAUAAAACAAAAAAACGGUGCAUCUACUGUAGAAGGAUUGACUAUAAUAGUGCCAUUUUAGCUUGUCUUCAUACUU
This is a long non-coding RNA of Carassius gibelio (silver crucian carp), 1929 nucleotides long. RefSeq lists it as uncharacterized. The record is from RefSeq and is a predicted model, not a curated record. NCBI's taxonomy places the organism in Eukaryota, Metazoa, Chordata, Actinopteri, Cypriniformes, Cyprinidae. The transcript is spliced from 2 exons.